RNAcentral lists this ribosomal RNA (436 nucleotides) under uncultured bacterium. RNAcentral's name for it is "bacterial SSU rRNA". It matches the Rfam family "Bacterial small subunit ribosomal RNA", at positions 30 to 464 of the family's 1533-position model. The record is from RNAcentral.
AUUGAACGCUGGCGGCAUGCCUUACACAUGCAAGUCGAACGGCAGCACGGGAGCAAUCCUGGUGGCGAGUGGCGAACGGGUGAGUAAUAUAUCGGAACGUGCCCAGUCGUGGGGGAUAACGUAGCGAAAGCUACGCUAAUACCGCAUACGAUCUAUGGAUGAAAGCGGGGGAUCGCAAGACCUCGCGCGAUUGGAGCGGCCGAUAUCAGAUUAGGUAGUUGGUGAGGUAAAGGCUCACCAAGCCGACGAUCUGUAGCUGGUCUGAGAGGACGACCAGCCACACUGGGACUGAGACACGGCCCAGACUCCUACGGGAGGCAGCAGUGGGGGAAUUUUUGGGACAAUGGGCGAAAGCCUGAUCCAGCAAUGCCGCGUGCAGGAAGAAGGCCUCGGGUUGUAACUAGCUUUGUACGGUAACGAAAGGUUAGUAGAAUAA